This 445-nucleotide ribosomal RNA is filed under the name uncultured bacterium. RNAcentral's name for it is "bacterial SSU rRNA". It matches the Rfam family "Bacterial small subunit ribosomal RNA", at positions 84 to 525 of the family's 1533-position model. The record is from RNAcentral.
UCCGCUGACGAGUGGCGAACGGGUGAGUAAUGCGUCGGAACGUGCCGAGUAGUGGGGGAUAACGCAUCGAAAGGUGUGCUAAUACCGCAUACGAACUGAGGUUGAAAGUGGGGGACCUUCGGGCCUCACGCUAUUCGAGCGGCCGACGUCUGAUUGGCUAGUUGGUGAGGUAAAGGCUCACCAAGGCGACGAUCAGUAGCGGGUCUGAGAGGAUGAUCCGCCACACUGGGACUGAGACACGGCCCAGACUCCUACGGGAGGCAGCAGUGGGGAAUUUUGGACAAUGGGCGCAAGCCUGAUCCAGCCAUGCCGCGUGUCUGAAGAAGGCCUUCGGGUUGUAAAGGACUUUUGUCCGGGAGCAAAUGCCUGGUGUUAAUAGCAUCGGGAGCUGAGAGUACCGGAAGAAUAAGCCCCGGCUAACUUCGUGCCAGCAGCCGCGGUAAUA